CUCGGGUUAGUUACCUAUCUCAGUAAAGUAUAUGUUUGGUUUGAGGAACGUCUUGAGAUUCAGGCAAUUGCGGAUGACAUAACUAGUACAUAUGUUCCUCCCCAUGUCAACAUAUUUUAUUGUUUAGGGGGAAUUACACUUACUUGUUGUCUAGUACAAGUCACUACCGUUUCUGCUAUGACUUUUUACUACCGGCCAACCGUUACAGAGGCUUUUUCCUCGGUUCAAUACAUAAUGACCGAGGCCAACUUUGGUUGGUUAAUCCGACAAGUUCAUCGAUGGUUAGCAAGUAUGAUGGUUUUAAUGAUGAUCUUGCAUGUAUUUCGUGUGUAUCUCACAUGGGGAUUUAAAAAACCAUGUGAAUUAACUUGGGUCAUAGCUGUGGUUUUGGCUAUUUUGGCUGCAUCAUGUGUCUAG
This 417-nucleotide ribosomal RNA is filed under the name Triticum aestivum (bread wheat). Its description in RNAcentral is "partial small subunit ribosomal RNA". Lineage: Eukaryota; Viridiplantae; Streptophyta; Magnoliopsida; Poales; Poaceae. The record is from RNAcentral.